This 303-nucleotide ribosomal RNA is filed under the name uncultured bacterium. Its description in RNAcentral is "partial 16S ribosomal RNA". It matches the Rfam family "Bacterial small subunit ribosomal RNA", at positions 507 to 807 of the family's 1533-position model. The record is from RNAcentral.
AGCAGCAGCCACGGGAAUACGUAGGGUGCAAGCGUUAAUCGGAAUUACUGGGCGUAAAGCGUGCGCAGGCGGUUCGCUAAGACAGAUGUGAAAUCCCCGGGCUUAACCUGGGAACUGCAUUUGUGACUGGCGGGCUAGAGUAUGGCAGAGGGGGGUAGAAUCCCACGUGUAGCAGUGAAAUGCGUAGAGAUGUGGAGGAAUACCGAUGGCGAAGGCAGCCCCCUGGGCCAAUACUGACGCUCAUGCACGAAAGCGUGGGGAGCAAACAGGAUUAGAUACCCGAGUAGUCCCUGUCUCUUAUAC